This 301-nucleotide ribosomal RNA is filed under the name uncultured bacterium. RNAcentral's name for it is "partial 16S ribosomal RNA". It matches the Rfam family "Bacterial small subunit ribosomal RNA", at positions 509 to 807 of the family's 1533-position model. The record is from RNAcentral.
CAGUAGCCGCGGUAAUACAGAGGGUGCGAGCGUUAAUCGGAUUUACUGGGCGUAAAGCGUGCGUAGGCAGCUUCUUAAGUCGGAUGUGAAAUCCCUGAGCUUAACUUAGAAAUUGCAUUCGAUACUGGGAAGCUAGAGUAUGGGAGAGGAUGGUAGAAUUCCAGGUGUAGCGGUGAAAUGCGUAGAGAUCUGGAGGAAUACCGAUGGCGAAGGCAGCCAUCUGGCCUAAUACUGACGCUGAGGUACGAAAGCAUGGGGAGCAAACAGGAUUAGAUACCCCCGUAGUCCCUGUCUCUUAUAC